GAUGAACGCUGGCGGCGUGCCUAAUACAUGCAAGUCGAGCGAACAGACGAGGAGCUUGCUCCUCUGACGUUAGCGGCGGACGGGUGAGUAACACGUGGAUAACCUACCUAUAAGACUGGGAUAACUUCGGGAAACCGGAGCUAAUACCGGAUAAUAUAUUGAACCGCAUGGUUCAAUAGUGAAAGACGGUUUUGCUGUCACUUAUAGAUGGAUCCGCGCCGCAUUAGCUAGUUGGUAAGGUAACGGCUUACCAAGGCAACGAUGCGUAGCCGACCUGAGAAGGUGAUCGGCCACACUGGAACUGAGACACGGUCCAGACUCCUACGGGAGGCAGCAGUAGGGAAUCUUCCGCAACGGGCGAAAGCCUGACGGAGCAACGCCGCGUGAGUGAUGAAGGUCUUCGGAUCGUAAAACUCUGUUAUUAGGGAAGAACAAAUGUGUAAGUAACUAUGCACGUCUUGACGGUACCUAAUCAGAAAGCCACGGCUAACUACGUG
RNAcentral lists this ribosomal RNA (497 nucleotides) under uncultured bacterium. Its description in RNAcentral is "partial 16S ribosomal RNA". It matches the Rfam family "Bacterial small subunit ribosomal RNA", at positions 28 to 507 of the family's 1533-position model. The record is from RNAcentral.